This 497-nucleotide ribosomal RNA is filed under the name uncultured bacterium. Its description in RNAcentral is "partial 16S ribosomal RNA". It matches the Rfam family "Bacterial small subunit ribosomal RNA", at positions 28 to 507 of the family's 1533-position model. The record is from RNAcentral.
GAUGAACGCUGGCGGCGUGCCUAAUACAUGCAAGUCGAGCGAACAGACGAGGAGCUUGCUCCUCUGACGUUAGCGGCGGACGGGUGAGUAACACGUGGAUAACCUACCUAUAAGACUGGGAUAACUUCGGGAAACCGGAGCUAAUACCGGAUAAUAUAUUGAACCGCAUGGUUCAAUAGUGAAAGACGGUUUUGCUGUCACUUAUAGAUGGAUCCGCGCCGCAUUAGCUAGUUGGUAAGGUAACGGCUUACCAAGGCAACGAUGCGUAGCCGACCUGAGAGGGUGAUCGGCCACACUGGAACUGAGAAACGGUCCAGACUCCUACGGGAGGCAGCAGUAGGGACUCUUCCGCAAUGGGCGAAAGCCUGACGGAGCAACGCCGCGUGAGUGAUGAAGGUCUUCGGAUCGUAAAACUCUGUUAUUAGGGAAGAACAAAUGUGUAAGUAACUAUGCACGUCUUGACGGUACCUAAUCAGAAAGCCACGGCUAACUCCGUG